This 468-nucleotide ribosomal RNA is filed under the name uncultured bacterium. Its description in RNAcentral is "partial 16S ribosomal RNA". It matches the Rfam family "Bacterial small subunit ribosomal RNA", at positions 28 to 507 of the family's 1533-position model. The record is from RNAcentral.
GACGAACGCUGGCGGCGUGCUUAACACAUGCAAGUCGAACGGAAAGGCCCUGCUUUUGUGGGGUGCUCGAGUGGCGAACGGGUGAGUAACACGUGAGUAACCUGCCCUUGACUUUGGGAUAACUUCAGGAAACUGGGGCUAAUACCGGAUAGGAGCUCCUGCUGCAUGGUGGGGGUGGGAAAUUUUCAGCGGGUGGGGAUGGACUCGCGGCUUAUCAGCUUGUUGGUGGGGUAGUGGCUUACCAAGGCUUUGACGGGUAGCCGGCCUGAGAGGGUGACCGGCCACAUUGGGACUGAGAUACGGCCCAGACUCCUACGGGAGGCAGCAGUGGGGAAUAUUGCACAAUGGGCGGAAGCCUGAUGCAGCAACGCCGCGUGCGGGAUGACGGCCUUCGGGUUGUAAACCGCUUUCGCCUGUGACGAAGCGUGAGUGACGGUAAUGGGUAAAGAAGCACCGGCUAACUACGUG